GACGAACGCUGGCGGCGUGCCUAACACAUGCAAGUCGAACGGAGAUAUGAUUUCGGUUGUAUCUUAGUGGCGAACGGGUGAGUAACGCGUGAGCAACCUGACUCUUAGAGGGGGAUAACACUCGGAAACGGGUGCUAAUACCGCAUAAGACCACGACAUGGCAUCAUGACGAGGUCAAAGGAGCAAUCCGCUGAGAGAGGGGCUCGCGUCCCAUUAGAUAGAUGGCGGGGUAACGGCACACCAUGUCAACGAUGGGUAGCCGAGCUGAGAGGCUGAUCGGCCACCCUGGAACUGAGACGCGGUCCAGACUCCUACGGGAGGCAGCAGUGGGGAAUAUUGGGCAAUGGGCGCAAGCCUGACCCAGCAACGCCGCGUGAGGGAAGAAGGCUUUCGGGUUGUAAACCUCUGUCCUUGGUGACGAAAAAAAUGACGGUAGCCAAGGAGGAAGCCCCGGCUAACUACGUGCCAGCCGCCGCAGUAA
This 481-nucleotide ribosomal RNA is filed under the name uncultured bacterium. RNAcentral's name for it is "partial 16S ribosomal RNA". It matches the Rfam family "Bacterial small subunit ribosomal RNA", at positions 28 to 523 of the family's 1533-position model. The record is from RNAcentral.